UACGAAGGGGGCUAGCGUUGCUCGGAAUCACUGGGCGUAAAGCGCACGUAGGCGGAUCGUUAAGUCAGGGGUGAAAUCCUGGAGCUCAACUCCAGAACUGCCUUUGAUACUGGCGAUCUUGAGUUCGGGAGAGGUGAGUGGAACUGCGAGUGUAGAGGUGAAAUUCGUAGAUAUUGGGAGGAACACCAGUGGCGAAGGCGGCUCGCUGGACCGGUUCUGACGCUGAGGCGCGAAAGCGUGGGGAGCGAACAGG
This 253-nucleotide ribosomal RNA is filed under the name uncultured bacterium. RNAcentral's name for it is "partial 16S ribosomal RNA". It matches the Rfam family "Bacterial small subunit ribosomal RNA", at positions 524 to 776 of the family's 1533-position model. The record is from RNAcentral.